AGAAUAUAUUUAUAAUAUAUAGUUUUUUUUUUACUUUAACAUAUGUUCCCACAUAGCCAAAUGAUUCAACUCAGUACAGUUAACAACUUAGAAAGGGAUUCAUUGAAUUUUCCAGGUCUCUUCAUGGCCAGAGUUGCUUUGUAAGGAGACCCUAAAUGUGGAAUAAUCAACAUGUUAAAGUAAUCUAGAUGUUUAUGAUUUGAUAACUCUUUGGUGCAUUGUUUAACAACAUGUUUUCAAUUUACUUUCCUUCAAAUAGCUCCAAAUAACCCCGUGAUUUUGGAUGAUUGAUUAUGGGAAUGCUGCUUUUACUGUACAUCCAAGCUCUCGUGGCCUCAGCGGAUAAGUAUAUGAGAGCACAGUUUUCCUGGUGUCAGAAUAUGAAGAUCCAGGGAACAAAGAACCUCAAAGAACACCUGGAUUGUCAAGGUUUGGCCGGCAGUGCACUUUCUCCAACCUUACAGUCACACGCAAGUUCUGGUUUUCCUGUCCAGCCUGCCACCCCUGGACCGUCCCUGUAUACAUUCCUUCUCCCUUUGAAGAAAUCCACAAAAGAAAAAGCAAAAUACUGACAAGUUUUCAAAGCCAUGAUUUACAGGAAUGAAUUCUGAAAAGCAAGUGGCUAACAUCCGAGUUCAUCAUCAAAUAAUAUUUCUAAAGCACCCUCUAGUGUCUGGCCCCAAGCCAGAUGAUUCAACGCCUGGAGAAGCUACAGACUUUUUCAAAGUAAAUAGACUCACGUCUGCUCUUGAGAAGCAAGUCGGCAUCAUUUAGGAUGCCUUUAAGGCAUUAAAAAUGGAUUGCUGUAGAAAAAUUAAUACAGGUACAAACACUAAUAAUAUUGAGUGCAAUUUAAAUUCCAUUUUAAAAUAGAUAAUAGGGUUUAAAAUAACAUGUCGAAAAUUGUACUGGAAUUAGCAAAAUUUAAAAUCUUAGGAAGAAGAAUCCUGAUUUGUAUGUGAAAAGGUUUUGAACUGAGGAAAAUUAAGACUAGCAAGAGUAGAUAGGGGUUGUCUAGUAGGAAUCAUAGACCCAUCAGCCAUCUGAUUAUGCUGUGACUGAUACUAGCCUGUAGUUUUCACCCAGUAAAUUAUCAAGUGGUACAGUAGAAAGAGCAUGGUAUGUAGAAUCAUAAGACUCAUAGUUUGGGGUCAACUCUACUAGUCACUUGGCCAUGUGGUUUGGAACACAUCACAAAAGAUUUAUGAGCCUUCGCUUCUUCACAUGUAAAAUUGUGAUGAUUUUGCCAACUUCAUAGAAUUGUUUAGACUUUAGAGUAUUACAUAGGAUACAACGGACUAGUUCCUUGAACAAAGUACUUGUCCCCAAAAUGUUACUAUUUUUUCUAGUUGUGUGAUUGAUUUUGCAAUCAGCAAUUUAAUAUUAUGCAUUCAAUACGUUUAUAAUAUGCAUUCAAUGUGACUCGCAUAUAUUUCAUAAAAACAAAUUUGAAUAUUUUUCUCAUUUUGUCAUUCACAUAUCUUUGAGAAUGGCAUCAUAGUUUUAUUUUGAUAAUGAAAUAAUACAGUCAAUUCCUGAAUAGGCUAGUUGACUUUAAUGAGAAAUACCCAUUUAUUCAUUCAUUCAUUCAUUUCAUUUUCAACUUUUAAAUUAAAUCCAUAAUGGCCCCUUCACUAUGGGGUUCUUAUAUUAAUAAGAUGGACCAGAUACUUUUAUCACCUACAAAAAAAAUCUUUGUAGGCGGAGCAAUAAAGAGUACUGAAUCAUUUUAAGAAGUCACAUAGAAAAUGACUUUUGAACAUGGAAGGACUCGGCUUGAUCAAGCAAAUUCUAUUUCAAAGUUUUACUUGCAAGGUUAUUUAUUACUGUGUGGAAUCUCACUCCUGGGGCUGGGGUCAAGAAAAAUGGGGACACAGGUGUCUGCCUAUUUGCACAGGCAUUAAAAAGUAUUGUAAAAUG
Long non-coding RNA from Mandrillus leucophaeus (drill), 1920 nucleotides. RefSeq lists it as uncharacterized. The record is from RefSeq and is a predicted model, not a curated record. The transcript has 4 exons. NCBI's taxonomy places the organism in Eukaryota, Metazoa, Chordata, Mammalia, Primates, Cercopithecidae.